This 524-nucleotide ribosomal RNA is filed under the name uncultured Acidobacteriota bacterium. RNAcentral's name for it is "bacterial SSU rRNA". It matches the Rfam family "Bacterial small subunit ribosomal RNA", at positions 355 to 871 of the family's 1533-position model. Lineage: Bacteria; Pseudomonadati; Acidobacteriota. The record is from RNAcentral.
UCGGGAAUUUUGGGCAAUGGGCGAAAGCCUGACCCAGCAACGCCGCGUGAAGGAUGAAAUCCUUCGGGAUGUAAACUUCGCAAGAACAGGAAGAAUAAGUCGGUGUUAACACCACCGGCGAUGACGGUACUGUUUGUAAGCUCCGGCUAACUCCGUGCCAGCAGCCGCGGUAAUACGGGGGGAGCAAGCGUUGUUCGGAUUUACUGGGCGUAAAGGGCGCGUAGGCGGCCACCGCAAGUCGACUGUGAAAUCUCCGGGCUUAACCCGGAACGGUCAGCCGAUACUGCGGGGCUAGAGUGCAGAAGGGGCAACUGGAAUUCUCGGUGUAGCGGUGAAAUGCGUAGAUAUCGAGAGGAACACCUGCGGCGAAGGCGGGUUGCUGGGCUGACACUGACGCUGAGGCGCGAAAGCUAGGGGAGCGAACGGGAUUAGAUACCCCGGUAGUCCUGGCCUUAAACGAUGAAUGCUUGGUGUCUGGGGUUUUAUAGUCCCCGGGUGCCGUCGCUAACGCUUUAAGCAUUCCG